Long non-coding RNA from Mytilus californianus (California mussel), 778 nucleotides. RefSeq lists it as uncharacterized. The transcript is spliced from 4 exons. NCBI's taxonomy places the organism in Eukaryota, Metazoa, Mollusca, Bivalvia, Mytilida, Mytilidae. The record is from RefSeq and is a predicted model, not a curated record.
GUGUGUUAUAUUGAUUAAUAGUUACAUAGCUACAUGUAAACAAUACCACGUGAAGGUUACUCUAAACACUUUAAAACAGAAGUUAUUUGGAGACAAUAUAAUAUGACCAUCACAGUUACUAUAGAAUACCAGUAUGGCUGAUGCUCUGGUGGAAGAUUUGAGAGAUUGAAAGAGGAAAUUCUUGUCGUCUUCCCGGAUGCAGUCGUGAUGAGCACAAUGGGCCCAGAAUCUUCAUAUGAAAUUACAGUAGAAGGUCAUCUCGUUUUCUCAAAACUAAAGCUCGGAGGUUAUCCAUAUAAUGACGAUAUAAUGCAAUGUUUACGACGAGUUCACGCUGGAGGUACACCGGAAGUUGUAAAGCGAGCUAAAAAGCCCACCUUUCUGAAAUAGAGAAAAAACUGGAGGAACAACAACUGCUAUACCACGUUUAUUUUACUGUUUCAACAGUGCCAUUAGAUCAGAUGAACUAUUAAUUCACCAUAUAGUACUGUCCAAAGUGCACAAAACAGACUACACCUAUCAAGUCAUUACGGUCAUGUACUUAUAUAUCCACAAAUCUAACUGACAUAUGUUGUUUCGAUAAAGUUUAUGAACAUCUACUGUAGGUAUUUUUUUUAAUACAGAUCAAUAUGCAUAAAAUUGUUUCUUAAUAAAAUGACAUCUAAACUUAAAAAUCUGAAAAUAAGAUGAGUUUAAAUUGAUGAAUUAUAAGAAAUACAUUUUUUGUGCUGUCUUCUAAAUUUCAUUUUUGUUUUAGAAAUAAAAUAUUUUCAAUUUU